This 117-nucleotide ribosomal RNA is filed under the name delta proteobacterium ML8_F1. Lineage: Bacteria; Deltaproteobacteria. The record is from RNAcentral.
UCCGGUGGCUAUGGCACAAAGGCUACACCUGUUCCCAUACCGAACACAGAAGUUAAGCUUUGUUGCGCCGAUGGUACUUGGUGGGAGACUGCCUGGGAGAGUAGGUCGCCGCCGGUU